RNAcentral lists this ribosomal RNA (479 nucleotides) under Escherichia coli. RNAcentral describes it as "bacterial SSU rRNA". It matches the Rfam family "Bacterial small subunit ribosomal RNA", at positions 94 to 572 of the family's 1533-position model. Lineage: Bacteria; Pseudomonadati; Pseudomonadota; Gammaproteobacteria; Enterobacterales; Enterobacteriaceae. The record is from RNAcentral.
GAGUGCGGACGGGUGAGUAAUGUCUGGGAAACUGCCUGAUGGAGGGGGAUAACUACUGGAAACGGUAGCUAAUACCGCAUAACGUCGCAAGACCAAAGAGGGGACCUUCGGGCCUCUGCCAUCAGGGUGCCCAGAUGGGAUUAGCUAGUAGGUGGGGUAACGGCUCACCUAGGCGACGAUCCCUAGCUGGUCUGAGAGGAUGACCAGCCACACUGGAACUGAGACACGGUCCAGACUCCUACGGGAGGCAGCAGUGGGGAAUAUUGCACAAUGGGCGCAAGCCUGAUGCAGCCAUGCCGCGUGUAUGAAGAAGGCCUUCGGGUUGUAAAGUACUUUCAGCGGGGAGGAAGGGAGUAAAGUUAAUACCUUUGCUCAUUGACGUUACCCGCAGAAGAAGCACCGGCUAACUCCGUGCCAGCAGCCGCGGUAAUACGGAGGGUGCAAGCGUUAAUCGGAAUUACUGGGCGUAAAGCGCACGC